GGAAUCUUGAAAUUCUCCGUCUAUCAAAUUCUAUGACAGGUGCAGCACCCCACAUUUCCGCAACAAUCCUGUUCAGAUGGGAACACCCAGAGGCUUGACUGUGAGUGAUGGUGUGUGUCUUGGUUAAGUUAAAAAAACAAUCCACUCAAUUAGUUCCAUGUUGGUACCGUAUUUUUCGCUCCAUAAGGCGCACCUGACCAUAAGGUGUGCCCAGUUUUUAGAGGGGGAAUUCAAGAAAAAACAUAUUAUUUAAAGGGAGCGCUGAGCAGAGCCUGUAUGCAUCCCAGGCUCUGCUCAGUGCUCCCUUUCAUGAGCCGCGUAGAGCGUGUGUGCAGCGCUUGCAGGCUUUUCCCCGAGGAGGGAGAAGCCCCCAAGAGCCACACACACACUCCGCGUGGCUCUUUAAAGGGAGCGCGGCCCUUGGGGGCUUUUCUAGGAGGUGGUGGAAGGGAAGGAUAGCCGUGCGAGAAUGUGGCACAAAAGCCAAGGAUAGCCACAUGAAGCCUCCACAGGGCAACGGGAUGAAGGCUCCCUGCUGCCCUGCGGAGGCUUUGCGCCACUAAGGCAGAAGCUAAAACAGCUAGAGGGAGUGCUGCACAGCGCUCUCUCUAGCUGUUCUGGCUUCUGGAGUAGCCCGUGAAGCCUCUGCAGGGCAGCAGGGAGCCUUCAUCCCACUACCCUGCGGAGGCUUCGUGGGCUACCCCAGAGCUGCUCAGGAGCGCGGGGGCAUCUGUGCGCAGCCUGUCUGCUGCUCCCAGGGGCUGUCGGGGAAGCCCGGGUUCUCCCCCCCAGCCCCAGGGACCACACAUUCGCUCCAUAAGACGCACAGACUUUCCCCCUUAGUUUUCAAGAGGAAAAAAGUGUGUCUUAUGGAGCGAAAAAUACGGUAUUUUUUAGUAUUUCUGUAGGAGUCCUUUGCCUAUUUUAACAGUGAGAGUUGGGAGUCCUCCACUGAGACUAUGACACCCAUGUGCUGGGGGUUGUGCAAUGGAAUACAAGGGUGAAUGAAUGUGCCCUUCUCUGAUUAUUGUAGCACCAUCUCUUUAUUUUGUUUCAUCUACUGAGGGACACUUCCUCUGUUGUUCUCUGUGGAGUCCAGGCAUAACGCUGAUAGGCAGGGCCUAGUUCCACCCCUGGUGCUUUCAUUGGGAGCCUACAGGGUGCUACCAGACUGCUAUUUUCCACUGGGAUUCAAUCGCAUACUGGCAGAUUUUUUGCCAUAAGGAAAGUGAUGGGGAAAGUGUGGGGGGCAAUACUUGCUUUGAUGUAAUGUCGUCUAGCCUCCCCAUAAAAAAUCAGAGGGAAUAGCCAACGUCAUCUCCUUGCAAAGAAAUCUGGACAGUUGCUUGACAAGCACAUUGUCUGGAAGCACCCACAGAGGGAAAUUGUCCUAAACCAGACCAUUUUUUCGCUCUGCCUUGAAGGAGAGCUUUGCUGGAUCAGAACCAAAGGCUUACCUAGUCCAGCAUUUUCCCCACCGUGGCCAACCAGAUGCCUCAAUGGGAAGUUUGAGGGCAGGACUUGAGCACAACAACAGGCCUCAUGUGCCCCAGUACUUGGUCUUGUCUGCUUGGGGCCUCGUCAGACACCUUGCAGGCGGCUGCAUACAGAGAACGUGGUCAAGCUCAAUUUAGGAGUUUUAUUUACAUACACAACUUGUUACACCUUGUGCCUUCAUGGCAAUGAUACUAUUUCUGCCCUGAAACUGAUGAAGCGUGGCUGUUGGAAAAGAGACUUGUCACCAUGAAGUAAAAUCCUCACACCUUAGGCCUAAAACAAAGAGGAAAUUACCUGUAUUUCCACCGUCCUCCUCGUGGCCUAGUUAGGUGCCAGAAGUCGUCCAACAGGUCCUUUCCUCCUUGCUGUCUCCCUCCAGAAGGUCAGCAUGGGGCCAGAGCUUCACACCAAUUCUCAAACUGCAGUCUUCGCAACAGCACCGUAAGCCAGUAUUAUUGUUUCCGGUUUUGCAGAUUAGACUGAGAGAUUGGCCUGUCCAAGGUCACUAAGUGAGUUCACGGCUGAUGUGAGAUUCAAACGGGGAACUUCCUGAUUGACUGCCAUUACACCACACCAGCUCUGAGUAGCUAAGAGCCUAAGAAGAACCUUCAUGGAUCAGGAUGAAUGUCCAUCUAGGAUCGCUUCCUGUUUCCCUGCAGUGGCCAACCCAACCAGAUGCCCCCAGGAGACCCUCAAGCGAGGCGUGGACACUCCCUUAAGAACAUAAGAAGAACCUGCUGGAUUGGGCCAACCUAGUCCAGCAUCCUGUUGUCGCAGUGGCCACCCAGAUGCCUGUAGGCAAUUCUCAAGCAGGAUCCAAUCACAAGAGCUCUUUCCCCAUCUCCUUACUCUUGCCCCUUUCCUCACAGCUGGUGUUUAGCAGCAUACUGCUUCAGAACUUGUCGAUUCCAUUUAGCCAUCACAUAGCAAAUAGAAUCAUCAGCUGUUGAGCUGUAUUUAAACAAGUUGCCUGGUCUGAUCAUUCUUCCUGUGGCAAUGUGUGUUGCCUAGCAAUGACUGUACAUGAGAGAGAGAGAGAGCGCGCGCACACACAAUAUAAUAUAUGAGAAAGUGCUCUGUAGGGGCUUUGACUCUGCUGG
Molecule: non-coding RNA, 2597 nt
Organism: Podarcis lilfordi (Lilford's wall lizard)
Lineage: Eukaryota; Metazoa; Chordata; Lepidosauria; Squamata; Lacertidae
Source: the annotation of a GenBank genome assembly